Molecule: RNA transcript, 1427 nt
Organism: Prunus avium (sweet cherry)
Lineage: Eukaryota; Viridiplantae; Streptophyta; Magnoliopsida; Rosales; Rosaceae
Source: RefSeq, a predicted model, not a curated record
UUCGGUGUCGGCUUCGUCACGAGGAUCGACAUCGGCGCCGUCUUUUGGAUCGUCGUCGGCGCCAUCUUCUGGAUAGUCGUCUUCUGGGUCACGACCUUCGCAGUUCUAGCCUUUUAGAGAAGAAGAUCGCCAAAGAGGUUUCAUUUCAUUUUCCUCGACUCUCCGACCCCGACCCCAACCCCAACCCCAACUCCAAAUCCUCUCUUCUAUCUCGGACCUCAAGGAUCUUGUGGACUUGCUGGAAUUGAAUGUGAUGUCUUGAGCCUCUUGGCUGGGAAGACCCAGAUUGUUGUUUCCCAUUGUUUUUACAAGACAUCUUUCCUUCAGAUGAUUUUGAUACUUUGCUGAAUGGUAUUUGAAAUUGUUGUUUGAUGAUAGUUAGGCAUAUACACAGCUGCUGGGCUUAUGUGACUUAACUUGUGUGGUUUGCAUUUGUGCAGGAGGGUGAAGAUUUCAGGAUUUCCUUUGUUUAUUUCUCUUUUAUCUUAGUGUGCAUCUUGUAUAUGAGAGAAUUUAGGUGAUUUUUAAGUCUAAAUCAUAUAUAAUGUAUGUUUAUGUUUUGAUUUUUAUUUAAAUCAUAUGAAUUCCUAAGUGCAUUGACAACUAAAAUUAAUUGAUUGGUUUGUGUAGCAAUAGUCUAACUUGUGGAUUGGAUUUGCUUGCAAGUUUGAAUAUGAAUAUAUAUAUGCUUAUCAGAAUAGCUAUAGCUUGCAAGUUGGAACCACAUUAUUAAUUAUGUGGAUAUAAUUUUAUUUUUUCACCACCCUUUCAGUAUGUAUAUCUUUUGCUUUGUUGGGAAAUCUGAUUAUAUUUCUAUUUUCCUUAUUUUAGAUACAUAGACAGCAGGGGAGUGGCUAGACCAAGAUUCCCUAGAGGACUUUGGCUUUUAUUAUUUAACUGGAGGAAUCCCACAAUCCAUGAGUGGUUUAAAUUUAAUUCAUUUGUAAGGAUGAUACUGCAGUUGUUCUCAAGUCAAGGUAAUUUCUAAACUACAAUACCUUGACCUUUGGGGGAGUAAAAUAUCUGACCAAGGUAGUUGCUGGAUUAGCAGCAGAUGGAAGGCAAAUUGUUGGCAGGACCAAGUCUGAAGCUAACUAUGAAAGCCUACAUGAUAGUGUAUACAUCAUUAACUUUCUCUUUGAAUCUCUCUCUCAGUAAAGCAGGUAGUAGUGGAUUAGUCCUCAAGCUGCUGUCAUUCUAAAGCUGCAUAGAUCUUAUUUCGACACCACCAACUUGAAAAAUGUGCAAGAAGGCAGAGCUAAGUCAACUCAAUAACAAAUUGAUGAAGUUAAGAUCAAAUUAGUAGAAUUUGUGAGCUCAAUUAUAUCUAAUUGUAGGUAGGAAGUAUGUAUGUAAUAGAAUAAAGAUUGGUUGACUAUGUAAUAACUAUUGAAUCUUCAAGUUUUAUGAAAGAAAUAAUUUUUGAG